UGCGAAGGUGGCGGAAUUGGUAGACGCGCUAGCUUCAGGUGUUAGUGUCCUUACGGACGUGGGGGUUCAAGUCCCCCCCCUCGCACCAC
RNAcentral lists this transfer RNA (89 nucleotides) under Escherichia coli HS. RNAcentral describes it as "tRNA-Leu". It matches the Rfam family "tRNA". From Rfam's summary of the family: Transfer RNA (tRNA) molecules are approximately 80 nucleotides in length. Their secondary structure includes four short double-helical elements and three loops (D, anti-codon, and T loops). Lineage: Bacteria; Pseudomonadati; Pseudomonadota; Gammaproteobacteria; Enterobacterales; Enterobacteriaceae. The record is from RNAcentral. RNAcentral also lists the same sequence under 23 other names.